RNAcentral lists this ribosomal RNA (950 nucleotides) under Alkalibacillus halophilus. RNAcentral describes it as "bacterial SSU rRNA". It matches the Rfam family "Bacterial small subunit ribosomal RNA", at positions 501 to 1452 of the family's 1533-position model. Lineage: Bacteria; Bacillati; Bacillota; Bacilli; Caryophanales; Bacillaceae. The record is from RNAcentral.
CUACGUGCCAGCAGCCGCGGUAAUACGUAGGGGGCAAGCGUUGUCCGGAAUUAUUGGGCGUAAAGCGCGCGCAGGCGGUUCCUUAAGUCUGAUGUGAAAGGCCACAGCUCAACUGUGGAGGGCCAUUGGAAACUGGGGAACUUGAGGACAGAAGAGGAGAGCGGAAUUCCACGUGUAGCGGUGAAAUGCGUAGAUAUGUGGAGGAACACCAGUGGCGAAGGCGGCUCUCUGGUCUGUAACUGACGCUGAGGCGCGAAAGCAUGGGUAGCGAACAGGAUUAGAUACCCUGGUAGUCCAUGCCGUAAACGUUGAGUGCUAGGUGUUAGGGGGUCCAACCCUUAGUGCUGCAGUUAACGCAAUAAGCACUCCGCCUGGGGAGUACGGCCGCAAGGCUGAAACUCAAAGGAAUUGACGGGGGCCUGCACAAGCGGUGGAGCAUGUGGUUUAAUUCGACGCAACGCGAAGAACCUUACCAGGUCUUGACAUCUUCGGACAGCCCAAGAGAUUGGGUCUUCCCUUCGGGGACCGAAUGACAGGUGGUGCAUGGUUGUCGUCAGCUCGUGUCGUGAGAUGUUGGGUUAAGUCCCGUAACGAGCGCAACCCCUGAUCUUAGUUGCCAGCAUUCAGUUGGGCACUCUAGGAUGACUGCCGGUGACAAACCGGAGGAAGGCGGGGAUGACGUCAAAUCAUCAUGCCCCUUAUGACCUGGGCUACACACGUGCUACAAUGGAUGGUACAAAGGGAAGCCAAACCGCGAGGUCGAGCUAAUCCCAUAAAGCCAUUCUCAGUUCGGAUUGUAGGCUGCAACUCGCCUGCAUGAAGCCGGAAUCGCUAGUAAUCGCGGAUCAGAAUGCCGCGGUGAAUACGUUCCCAGGCCUUGUACACACCGCCCGUCACACCACGAGAGUUGGCAACACCCGAAGUCGGUGGGGUAACCUUCACGGAGCCAG